AACGAACGCUGGCGGCAGGCCUAACACAUGCAAGUCGAGCGCGCCUUCGGGUGAGCGGCGGACGGGUGAGUAACGCGUGGGAAUAUGCCCUUCUCUACGGAAUAGUCCUGGGAAACUGGGGGUAAUACCGUAUACGCCCUUUGGGGGAAAGAUUUAUCGGGGAAGGAUUAGCCCGCGUUGGAUUAGGUAGUUGGUGGGGUAAUGGCCUACCAAGCCGACGAUCCAUAGCUGGUUUGAGAGGAUGAUCAGCUACACUGGGACUGAGACACGGCCCAGACUCCUACGGGAGGCAGCAGUGGGGAAUCUUAGACAAUGGGGGCAACCCUGAUCUAGCCAUGCCGCGUGAGUGAUGAAGGCCUUAGGGUUGUAAAGCUCUUUCAGCUGGGAAGAUAAUGACGGUACCAGCAGAAGAAGCCCCGGCUAACUCCGUG
This 431-nucleotide ribosomal RNA is filed under the name uncultured bacterium. Its description in RNAcentral is "partial 16S ribosomal RNA". It matches the Rfam family "Bacterial small subunit ribosomal RNA", at positions 29 to 507 of the family's 1533-position model. The record is from RNAcentral.